This 484-nucleotide ribosomal RNA is filed under the name uncultured bacterium. RNAcentral's name for it is "partial 16S ribosomal RNA". It matches the Rfam family "Bacterial small subunit ribosomal RNA", at positions 28 to 507 of the family's 1533-position model. The record is from RNAcentral.
AUUGAACGCUGGCGGCAUGCUUUACACAUGCAAGUCGAACGGCAGCGCGGGCUUCGGCCUGGCGGCGAGUGGCGAACGGGUGAGUAAAGCAUCGGAACGUGCCCAGUAGUGGGGGAUAGCCCGGCGAAAGCCGGAUUAAUACCGCAUACGACCUGAGGGUGAAAGCGGGGGACCGAAAGGCCUCGCGCUAUUGGAGCGGCCGAUGUCGGAUUAGCUAGUUGGUGGGGUAAAGGCUUACCAAGGCGACGAUCCGUAGCUGGUCUGAGAGGACGACCAGCCACACUGGGACUGAGACACGGCCCAGACUCCUACGGGAGGCAGCAGUGGGGAAUUUUGGACAAUGGGGGCAACCCUGAUCCAGCCAUGCCGCGUGCGGGAAGAAGGCCUUCGGGUUGUAAACCGCUUUUGUUCGGGAAGAAAUCCUCUGGGCUAAUACCCCGGGGGGAUGACGGUACCGGGAGAAUAAGCACCGGCUAACUACGUG